CCUACGGGUGGCAGCAGUGAGGAAUAUUGGUCAAUGGGCGCGAGGCUGAACCAGCCAAGUCGCGUGAGGGAAGACGGUCCUAUGGAUUGUAAACCUCUUUUGUCGAGGAGCAAAAGACGCCACGCGUGGCGGUCCGAGAGUACCCGAAGAAAAAGCAUCGGCUAACUCCGUGCCAGCAGCCGCGGUAAUACGGAGGAUGCGAGCGUUAUCCGGAUUUAUUGGGUUUAAAGGGUGCGCAGGCGGAAGAUUAAGUCAGCGGUAAAAUUGAGAGGCUCAACCUCUGCGAGCCGUUGAAACUGGUUUUCUUGAGUGAGCGAGAGGUAUGCGGAAUGCGCGGUGUAGCGGUGAAAUGCAUAGAUAUCACGCAGAACUCCGAUUGCGAAGGCAGCAUACCGGCGCUCAACUGACGCUGAGGCACGAAAGUGUGGGUAUCGAACAGGAUUAGAUACCUUUGUAGUC
This 459-nucleotide ribosomal RNA is filed under the name uncultured bacterium. RNAcentral describes it as "partial 16S ribosomal RNA". It matches the Rfam family "Bacterial small subunit ribosomal RNA", at positions 338 to 795 of the family's 1533-position model. The record is from RNAcentral.